UGUUAAUGAGGUCUAAUCCUCUCUACAUCCCCCAUGUUGCUGUAAGGACUGUGUUAAUGAGGUAUACUCCUCUCUACAUCCCCCAUGUUGCUGUAAGGACUGUGUUAAUGAGGUCUAAUCCUCUCUACAUCCCCCAUGUUUCUGUAAGGACUGUGUUAAUGAGGUAUCCUCCUCCGUGUUGCUGUAAGGACUGUGUUAAUGAGGUAUCCUCCUCCAUGUUGCUGUAAGGACUGUGUUAAUGAGGUAUCCUCCUCCAUGUUGCUGUAAGGACUGUGUUAAUGAGGUAUCCUCCUCCAUGUUG
Oncorhynchus keta (chum salmon) is the source of this 301-nucleotide long non-coding RNA. RefSeq lists it as uncharacterized. The record is from RefSeq and is a predicted model, not a curated record. The transcript has 3 exons. NCBI's taxonomy places the organism in Eukaryota, Metazoa, Chordata, Actinopteri, Salmoniformes, Salmonidae.